RNAcentral lists this ribosomal RNA (460 nucleotides) under uncultured bacterium. RNAcentral's name for it is "partial 16S ribosomal RNA". It matches the Rfam family "Bacterial small subunit ribosomal RNA", at positions 338 to 795 of the family's 1533-position model. The record is from RNAcentral.
CCUACGGGGGGCAGCAGUGAGGAAUAUUGGUCAAUGGGCGGAAGCCUGAACCAGCCAAGUCGCGUGAGGGAUUAAGGCCCUGCGGGUCGUAAACCUCUUUUGUCGGGGAGCAGAUUUCCGGACGUGUCCGGCCCGGGAGAGUACCCGCAGACAAAGCACCGGCUAACUCCGUGCCAGCAGCCGCGGUAAUACGGUGGAUGCGAGCGUUAUCCGGAUUUAUCGGGUUAAAAGGGUGCGUAGGCGGGCAUUUAAGCCGGCGGUAAAGGGGCGGGGCCAAACCCCGGCCUGCCGUCGGAACUGGGUGCCUUGAGUGAGCGAGAAGUAUGCGGAAUGCGUGGUGUAGCAGUGAAAUGCAUAGAUAUCACGCAGAACCCCGAUUGCGAAGGCAGCAUACCGGAGCCCUACUGACGCUGAGGCACGAAGGUGCGGGUAUCGAACGGGAUUAGAUACCCGAGUAGUC